RNAcentral lists this ribosomal RNA (230 nucleotides) under uncultured Alicycliphilus sp. RNAcentral's name for it is "partial 16S ribosomal RNA". It matches the Rfam family "Bacterial small subunit ribosomal RNA", at positions 550 to 774 of the family's 1533-position model. Lineage: Bacteria; Pseudomonadati; Pseudomonadota; Betaproteobacteria; Burkholderiales; Comamonadaceae. The record is from RNAcentral.
AGCUGAUCACUGGGCGUAAAGCGUGCGCAGGCGGUCUUGUAAGACAGAGGUGAAAUCCCCGGGCUCAACCUGGGAACUGCCUUUGUGACUGCAAGGCUGGAGUGCGGCGGAGGGGGAUGGAAUUCCGCGUGUAGCAGUGAAAUGCGUAGAUAUGCGGAGGAACACCGAUGGCGAAGGCAAUCCCCUGGGCCUGCACUGACGCUCAUGCACGAAAGCGUGGGGAGCAAACA